GGAGGAAGGGAGGGAGGGAGUAAGGGAAGGUAGACAAUUUGGAUCUGGUAAUUUCAGAAAAUCUAUGUUGAAAAUGAUUACUAUAUGUAAUUGAGAAAAUAAAAUUAUCUUUAAAUACAAAAAAGGAAUAAUUGGGUUAAGCAAUUGCCUUCAUUUGCAAAUGGUAGCAAAUUCAAGACGUUGCACAUUCAAGACUUGAAAUGGUCUAGAAGUGGUCUAGCACUGGCAGUAUUGAUCUGAAAAGAGCCUUCAUCUUUCCAACUCAAUUCCAUUAACAUUUUUUAUUGCUCUUCUCCAUCCUUUUUUAAUCUUAAUUCUUUACUGCAUUGAAAAUGUAGAACGCAGAGCUAUUUGAAAUUUUCUGACUGAAACCACCCGAGAAAUCAACUAGUGAAGAUGGUUUGUUUUUUGAUACGUUCAGUAAGACAAAUGAAGAAAUCAUGGCUAUGUUUAAUGUCCAAUGUAGACGGCAGAGUUGACAAAAUACAAUUUAAAAAUCUCACUUUCUGCAAAGUACGAUAUAAACCACCAGCCGGAGGAAGUGCUUGCGAAUGAGGCACGUCCAGGUGGUUUCAGGCCGGCUCAAUGGCCGUAUCUAGGGCUCUGGAGCUUUUCUGCAUGGAGCACUCGGGCUGUCCUUGGCUCCUGGAAGCAGCAAGGCCAUCAUGAUAAUCCAUCAAGUGAUAAGCACACCGAGUUGUGCCCAUCAGAUGAGAUGACGUAUGUUGAUGUGCCUUCCCAACAUUAAAGUCCUCCAUAAAUGCAAUAAUCUGCUGAUGAAGGAACAGAAUGAGGGAGCUGCUUCCCCGAAUCAUUUCAGACUAUAGAAUGCCUAAUGAAGACAGCACAGCAGUGGAAGAAUCACAACAGAAGAUCUAAUGUUGAGAAUGAGCUGGGGUCAAAAGGGAAAGCGAAGAAGAACCAAGAGGUUUUUUUUUUUUUGUGGGGUGGGGGUGGAGGGGAGGUACCAUUAGUACCUAACCAUCCCUAUACAUGGAUUAGAUUUAAAUACUCUUUUAUUCAUGGUAAUAACUUUUAAUGAUUAACUACAAACAUGCAAAAGUUCUCCUGUCUGAAUGGCAUUCACUCUCCUUAUUUCCUUUUAUCUAAGACUUUAAUAAGAUUAGGAAAGUUAUUCACAUUGAAGCUAUUCUCUCUAAUAUGGCAUUUCUAAGCAGUAUCUACAAUUCACACCAAAGAAAGAGAAAACAAUGUCAUCUGUUAACGCACUGUUACAUGUAGAGAAGUUCUAAAAAGAAAGGAGACCAAAUUUUGCACCCUAAAUUCAGCAAGUGUCCAACUCAUUCUUUUAACC
RNAcentral lists this long non-coding RNA (1315 nucleotides) under Monodelphis domestica (gray short-tailed opossum). Its description in RNAcentral is "lncRNA (ENSMODG00000045576.1)". The record is from RNAcentral. Lineage: Eukaryota; Metazoa; Chordata; Mammalia; Didelphimorphia; Didelphidae.